RNAcentral lists this ribosomal RNA (197 nucleotides) under uncultured bacterium. RNAcentral's name for it is "partial 16S ribosomal RNA". It matches the Rfam family "Bacterial small subunit ribosomal RNA", at positions 524 to 716 of the family's 1533-position model. The record is from RNAcentral.
UACGGAGGGUGCGAGCGUUAAUCGGAAUACUGGGCGUAAAGCGCAUGCAGGUGGUUCAUUAAGUCAGAUGUGAAAGCCCGGGGCUCAACCGUCGGAACUGCAUUUGAAACUGGUGAACUAAGAGUACUGUAGAGGGGGGUAGAAUUUCAGGUGGUAGCGGAUUGAAAUGCGUAGAGAUCUGAAGGAAUACCAGUGGA